AAAACAAUGGUACUUGUCAAAGCGGUUUUAUCGACAAAAGAUAUCGCUGUUUGUGUACCACUGGAUUCAGAGGUCCGAACUGUGAAAAAGUUUCAGCUUCGACGUGUAGAGAAAUUUUCGACCGGAAUGUAUCAAAAAAGAGUGGCGAAGUUGCCCUGCACUUAGACUCAAAGCCAAUUUCUGUUUUCUGUCACAUGGGAGACUUUGGGUGCGGAGAUGGAGGAUGGACGCCGGUUAUGAAGAUUAAU
Molecule: long non-coding RNA, 248 nt
Organism: Stylophora pistillata
Lineage: Eukaryota; Metazoa; Cnidaria; Anthozoa; Scleractinia; Pocilloporidae
Source: RefSeq, a predicted model, not a curated record